AUUUUCAAUGAUGAGAACCUUUUUAUCUUUCAGUUAUCCCUGUCUGAACAGGUUUAUAUACAUGGUUAACCUAACGUGUCGAUAUCUUUUACUCUGAAGUUAAU
RNAcentral lists this small nucleolar RNA (104 nucleotides) under Maudiozyma saulgeensis. Its description in RNAcentral is "Kazachstania saulgeensis Small nucleolar RNA R38". It matches the Rfam family "Small nucleolar RNA R38". From Rfam's summary of the family: snoR38 is a C/D box small nucleolar RNA conserved across yeast, human, Arabidopsis and rice. The record is from Rfam by way of RNAcentral. Lineage: Eukaryota; Fungi; Ascomycota; Saccharomycetes; Saccharomycetales; Saccharomycetaceae.